Molecule: unclassified non-coding RNA, 222 nt
Filed under: uncultured Tomentella
Lineage: Eukaryota; Fungi; Basidiomycota; Agaricomycetes; Thelephorales; Thelephoraceae
Description: sequence contains ITS2
Source: RNAcentral
ACACCUCAACUCUUUAUGGUUUUCCAUGAUGAGCUUGGACUUUGGGGGUUUUGCUGGCCUACGGUCGGCUCCUCUAAAAUAAAUCAGCUUGCCAGUGUUUGGUGGGUAUCAUGGGUGUGAUAACUAUCUACGCUUGUGGUUUUUCCACCAGGUAACCUUCAGCAGUGGAGGUUCGCUGGGGCUCAUAAAUGUCUCUCCUCAGUGAGGACAGCUUUUUUGAAC